UACGUAGGGGGCAAGCGUUAUCCGGAAUUACUGGGUGUAAAGGGAGCGUAGACGGUGAUGUAAGUCUGGAGUGAAAGGCGGGGGCCCAACCCCCGGACUGCUCUGGAAACUAUGUGACUGGAGUGCAGGAGAGGUGAGCGGAAUUCCUAGUGUAGCGGUGAAAUGCGUAGAUAUUAGGGGGAACACCAGUGGCGAAGGCGGCUCACUGGACUGUAACUGACGUUGAGGCUCGAAAGCGUGGGGAGCAAACAGG
This 253-nucleotide ribosomal RNA is filed under the name uncultured bacterium. RNAcentral's name for it is "partial 16S ribosomal RNA". It matches the Rfam family "Bacterial small subunit ribosomal RNA", at positions 524 to 776 of the family's 1533-position model. The record is from RNAcentral.